RNA transcript from Cucumis melo (muskmelon), 2526 nucleotides. RefSeq lists it as uncharacterized. The record is from RefSeq and is a predicted model, not a curated record. Lineage: Eukaryota; Viridiplantae; Streptophyta; Magnoliopsida; Cucurbitales; Cucurbitaceae. The transcript has 8 exons.
UCUCUCCCUUAAACAAAAUUCAAUUUCCCUUUGCUUUCUUCUUCGUCGUCCUCACUUUUCAUUCCGUUAAAGCCAUCUUCAGUACAAUUUGGGAGGUAUUCGCCAGCGCUCUUGUUGGGUGUUCCUAUUCAACCAUCCAAUUCGAUCCUAACCCCACUCUCUCUCUUAUUCGUAUUUUCAUUUCGAUCCGAAGCCAUCGCACUGUGUUCCCAUGUCUAUGUGAGCCAACAUUUUUCCUGCUAGGGUCUUUGGGGGGUCUAGAUUUUCUUCCGAGAUUUGGGAGCUUUCAAAACAGGUAUUCUGCUAUUCUUCUGCCAAUUCGUCUUGUUCAGUUUAGGGAUUCUGUACUUGCGCAUCGGCCAUGCGCUUCAACGAAUUAGCGAGUUCUUGACAGCAUAAGGGCAUAUUUUUCUCCUGGGGUUUCUGAUUUCAACAUGUCAGCAGCUUCAAGGGGUAGAGUUACCAUUACACUCGGCCGUAGCGGACAGGUAGUAAAAAAGGCCGGCCCAGGGACUGAUGUUUCCGUCUCUGAUUCUUGGCCUGUAUCUGGAACUAAGCGGUCUGUAAGAGAUAGGUUGGGAAGUAGCUCUGAUUGUGAUCUGUUUUAUGGAAGCCAACUCAAUAACAAACGCAGAUUGCGAGGAGAUGAUGGGAUGUCAAAUUGGAGUUCUAAUGGCGGGUUGGAUGUGCCACAUAUUGGUAAAGACGACCUUCGGUAUAAACUUUUGCAAAAAGGUGCAUUCAGACGUGCUCAAAGCGAUAAUAAGAAGUGUUUAGAUCUUCGGGAGAAGCUACCUAAGGCAGAUCAAGCUCCUAUACGACAUCGUAAUCCACCAUUGCACAAUACAAAUAUCUUACGCCGAACCCCUACAACCAGAAGUGCAGAUGACUUACCUCAGAAGGACUCGUUAGGCAGUUCUUAUUCCCCAUGGACCAUGGAUAAUUUGAGACAAAGAUCACCUGCUAGAAUUGUAGAAUCGUCGAGGCACUACUCUCUACAAAGAGAUGAUGAGAAACUUCAGAGAAGGCCAGCUAACCUGUCAUUUGAGAAUGCAAGAUCAGUGGGGUAUGUAGCCAAAGAUGUUCACAAUGCUUCAGGUUCUGUUAGUACUGCAACGUAUGUGACGAACUCUCUAUUGCCCCCUACAUCUGCAAAGCCUGUGGCACCGGUUGUACCAUUACAUCCUCCCCCAAGUGGCAUUGCACACAAAACUCUCUAUCCCGGCGACGAACUUCAAACUAUAGAUGGCUUGUUGCAGUCUCUAGGAUUGGGAAAAUAUUCCAUUCUUUUUAAGGCCGAGGAAGUUGAUAUGACUGCCUUGAAGCAAAUGGGGGAGAAUGAUCUCAAAGAGCUUGGAAUACCUAUGAAAGAGGCCAAGCCAAGAAAAGCUUGAACUUCCUUGAUGGACGUUGGUGUUGGCCAAGUGUGUAUAGCUUCUACCUUACUAGGACUUGAAAUAGUUUUCUUAGGGUCCGUUUGGUAACGUUUCUAUUCCCUGUUACUUGUUUCUUGUUUUUUGUUCCCUUUUUCCUGUUUCUUCUUUUUUUUAGAACAAGAAACAAGAAUGUGUUUGAUGACUGUUUCUUGUUUCUUGAAAAAAGAAAUAUAAACAAAAAAAAAUGUGUUUGAUAAUUGUUUCUUGUUUCCUGAUUUUCUUUUAGAUUUAUUUUUUAUUUUUCACAUCUACUUCAAUUAAACAUUAAACAAAAAUAUAGGUCAUCCAUCAAACAUAAAAAUAAAAUUAUCAAAAGUUUAUUCAUUUAAUAAGGAGAAGUACUGAUGCACGAAUAAAAAUAAUAACAUAAACAUAAAAUUGUAUCUAUCCUUCAAAUGUUGCCAAAUUUGUUUGGCAAUAUCAUCUCACUCGAGCCCAUUUCUCUUAGAUGAUGUCGAUUCACUUCUUAAUCCAUCAAUUUCAACUUUAUCGAUAUUUUGUGACAUUUAAAAUGUAAUAUUAAUUUUAAAUUAUUAUAUCUUCAGUAUUCAGAAUUGAAAAAAAUGAAACAAAAUUUAACCUUUAACUUUUCUACCUAUGAUGCUUUAGAGAAAAACCCACAACGAAAACCCAGAUCCACAUAAAGAGAGACUAAAACUGUGGAUUCGACGAAGAGGAACAGCCUAGCGAAGAGGAAGAGUCCGAGUUGUAGAGGAAGACGAUGAGAGGCGAAGAGGAAGACGGUGUGCAGAGGAAGACGGUGAGUGAAAGAUGAAAAGGAUGAUUAUUAGGGGAAGACUAUGGAGAUAAAGAGCAAAAGGAAACCAAUAAAAAUAAUUAAGAAAAAGGAAAAGGAAACAAAUAAUAAUAAUUGAGAAAACGGAAAAGGAAACCAAUAAAAAUAAUUAAAAAAAAGAACCAAUAAAAAUAAUUGAGAAAAAGGAAAAGGAAACCAAUAAAAAUAAUUGAGAAACAGGAAAACGAAACCAAUAAAAAUAAUUGAGAAAAAGGUAAAGAAAACAAAUAAAAAUAAUGAAAAGGAAACCAAUAAAAAUAAUUGAGAAAAAGUAAAAGAAAACCAAUAAAAAUA